This 234-nucleotide unclassified non-coding RNA is filed under the name Hevea brasiliensis (rubber tree). Lineage: Eukaryota; Viridiplantae; Streptophyta; Magnoliopsida; Malpighiales; Euphorbiaceae. The record is from RNAcentral.
AGAAAACUCGAUUCAACAGAGCAGUUUUUAGACAGUGGAGUUAGAAAUGAAAUGUCUAUACUCCUAGUCCUAGAGGACAAAUUUAAGGCUCCAUUAUUACUCUUUAAUCAUAAAUAUAAUUAAAAGUGAACCAUUUUGGAUGGCUAUGCUAUUUCCCCCUCUUUUGACACUCUGUGUGGGGGAACUCAAUUUCCAAGGUUUAGUACUAAUAACCCAGGCAUAUUGAAAUGUAAG